RNAcentral lists this transfer RNA (66 nucleotides) under Lepilemur ruficaudatus (red-tailed sportive lemur). RNAcentral's name for it is "tRNA-Tyr". It matches the Rfam family "tRNA". From Rfam's summary of the family: Transfer RNA (tRNA) molecules are approximately 80 nucleotides in length. Lineage: Eukaryota; Metazoa; Chordata; Mammalia; Primates; Lepilemuridae. The record is from RNAcentral.
GGUAGAAUGGCUGAGUAAGCAUUAGACUGUAAAAUCUAAAGACAGAGGAAUUCCUCUUUUUUACCA